This 511-nucleotide ribosomal RNA is filed under the name uncultured bacterium. Its description in RNAcentral is "partial 16S ribosomal RNA". It matches the Rfam family "Bacterial small subunit ribosomal RNA", at positions 29 to 507 of the family's 1533-position model. The record is from RNAcentral.
AUGAACGCUGGCGGCGUGCCUAAUCCAUGCAAGUCGAACGAAACUUCUUUAUCACCGAGUGCUUGCACUCACCGAUAAAGAGUUGAGUGGCGAACGGGUGAGUAACACGUGGGCAACCUGCCCAAAAGAGGGGGAUAACACUUGGAAACAGGUGCUAAUACCGCAUAACCAUAGUUACCGCAUGGUAACUAUGUAAAAGGUGGCUAUACUACCGCUUUUGGAUGGGCCCGCGGCGCAUUAGCUAGUUGGUAGGGUAAAGGCUUACCAAGGCAAUGAUGCGUAGCCGAAUUGAGAGGUUGAUCGGCCACAUUGGGACUGAGACACGGCCCAAACUCCGACGGGAGGCAGCAGUAGGGAAUCUUCCACAAUGGGCGAAAGCCUGAUGGAGCAACGCCGCGUGGGUGAAGAAGGUCUUCGGAUCGUAAAACCCUGUUGUUAGAGAGGAAAGUGCGUGAGAGUAACUGUUCACGUUUCGACGGUAUCUAACCAGAAAGCCACUGCUAACUACGUG